This 496-nucleotide ribosomal RNA is filed under the name uncultured bacterium. Its description in RNAcentral is "partial 16S ribosomal RNA". It matches the Rfam family "Bacterial small subunit ribosomal RNA", at positions 29 to 507 of the family's 1533-position model. The record is from RNAcentral.
AUGAACGCUUGCGGCCUGCCUAAUACCUUCAAGUCGAGCGAACAGACGAGGAGCUUGCUCCUCUGCCGUUAGCGCCGGCGGGGUGAGUAACACUUGGUUAACCUACCUAUAAUUCUGGGAUAACUUCGGGAAACCGGAGCUAAUCCCGGUUGAUAUAUUUAACCGCUUGGUUCAAUAGGGAAAUACGGUUUUUCUGUGACUUAUUGAUGGCUUCUCGCCGCAUUAGCUAGUUGGUAAGGUAACGGCUUACCAAGGGAACGAGGGGUAGCCGACCUGAGAGGGUGAUCGGCGGCACUGGAACUGAGACACGGUCCAGACGCCUACGGGAGGCAGCAGUAGGGAAUCUUACGCAAUGGGGGAAAGCCUGACGGAGCAAGGCCGCGUGAGUGAUGAAGGUCUUGGGAGCGGGAAACCGUGUUAUUGGUGGAAAACAAAUGUGUACGGAAAUAUGCACGGCUUGACGGUAACUAAUAAAAAAGCCACGGCUAACUACGUG